UUUUCCUACGGGGCGCAGCAGUGGGGAAUAUUGCACAAUGGGGGAAACCCUGAUGCAGCGACGCCGCGUGAGUGAAGAAGUAUCUCGGUACGUAAAUCUCUAUCAGCAGGGAAGAAAAAAAGUCUUUGGCUUUGGACGGUACCUGACUAAGAAGCCCCGGCUAACUACGUGCCAGCAGCCGCGGUAAUACGUAGGGGGCAAGCGUUAUCCGGAUUUACUGGGUGUAAAGGGAGCGUAGGCGGCAGGGCAAGCCUGAUGUGAAAGCCCGGGGCUCAACCCCGGGACUGCAUUG
This 292-nucleotide ribosomal RNA is filed under the name uncultured bacterium. RNAcentral describes it as "partial 16S ribosomal RNA". It matches the Rfam family "Bacterial small subunit ribosomal RNA", at positions 334 to 628 of the family's 1533-position model. The record is from RNAcentral.